Molecule: long non-coding RNA, 3355 nt
Filed under: Solanum tuberosum (potato)
Lineage: Eukaryota; Viridiplantae; Streptophyta; Magnoliopsida; Solanales; Solanaceae
Description: long non-coding RNA (STUB_LNC009339)
Source: RNAcentral
AUCGACGUUCGCAACUCCUUGAAGCAGGUUCCACUCUUGAUUUUUAUAAACUAUUAGUAUUUCAGUUUAUGCCUUUGCUUUCUUCUGCAUAUAUUGGGGAUGAACCAUAUAGUUGAUAUUUAUAUCUACUACUAUUGUUUAUGAAAUGAAAGUGGAAUGCAUAUCUUGUAUUAGUUUGACUAAAAGUAGUUUCCAAUCUCUCUUGUUUUGCUAUUCUAUGUCCCUUUAAUUUUUGCAUAUCUUGUUUCCUUGCUGUGAACUUCUAGAAGAGUGAAGCAAGACUAAGAUGGUUUAGGCAUGUACAGAGGAAGUGCAUUGACGCCUAGUGAGAAAGUGCAAUAGGUUGGUUGUAAGGGAUAAGCGAAGGGGUAAAGGUAGGUCGAAAAAGUCCUAAGGAGGUGAUUAGACAGGACAUAAUGCAACUUUAUGUUGUCAAGUACAUGACUCUAGAUAAGGAGUGGGGUCAUGUAUUUGGGUAGAAGGUUAGUAGGGGUGAAGUGUUAUCUUGCCUUGCGAAGGUUUAGGCUUGUUGAGUUUGUCAUAGUACUUGUUACCCUUGUAAUUCUUGUCAUAUGUUGUUUGUUGUGUUUUAAUUAUCGCAUUAUUUUGUUGUUCUUAUAGAUUCUUUCUUAUAAACUUUACACUACUUUCUUAUUUGCUGCUAUGUUUUCCUUAUUGUUUUUUUUCUUUUACUUUGAUUUGAUGCGCGUGCUACAACCGAGAAUCUUUUGAAAAUAGUUUUUCUACCUCUAUGAGGUAGUGGUAAGAUUUGGUACACUAUACCUCUCAGGCCCCACUUAGUGAAAUUUCAUUGGGUAUAUUGUUGAUGUAAAUGAUACUGAACGAAAGCAAUUAUGAAAGAAAAGAAAUUACAACAACAAUAUACAUAGUGAAAUUCUACAAGAAGGGUCUUGGAAGGGUAGAGUGUAUGUAGACCUUACCACUACCUCGUGUAGAUAGAGAGGUUGUUUUCGAAAGAGUCUCGGCUCAAGUGCAACAAAUUCUAGUACAAAGAAUUAAUAAAACAGUAUAAAAAAACAUAUCAACUAACAAGGGAAGCGGUGGAAAGCCUACAAGAACAACAAAAUAAUGCUAUAAUUAAAACACUAGUAAAAACAGACGACGAUAGAUAUCAAAAGCAAGAACUACAAUAAUACGGUUAGUACAACGACAAGCCUGAACUCGUGAAAAGCAAGACAACACUCCACUACCAUCUACCCUAGUACCUAUCCUCCAGACUCUCUUAUCUAAGGUCAUGUCAUCGACAACUUGAAGGUGUGUCGUGUCCUAUCUAAUCACUCAUCCCUAACACUUCUUUGGCCUACCUCUCCCCAUACCUACUAUAGCCAACCUCUCGCACCUCCUUAGUAAAUGUCAGCACAUCUCUUCAUAUGUCCAAACCAUCUCAGUCAGACUUCCCUCGUCAAAAAAAGUUACAAAGAGCAAAAUAACACUAAACUAUACUCUUUUUUUUUGGAAGGGGUGGUUACUCCAGUUGAAAUAUCAAAGCAAAUAGCUAUUUCGAGCAACCAUAAAUUAGUUUGAAGUUUGAACCAUAUAGAGAACCUGUGUAGUUGGUAGAUGUUUAUUCACAGCAGCAAGAGAUUAGAGAUAACUUAGCUUGAGCCAUACAACAAACCUCAUAAAUCCAAGUGUCUAAGUAUUUAUAGUGAUAGUUUUAAAAAAAUUACUAAACAUAGCUAUACUUUGGAUUUUAUAGUGAAUCCCUAAAAAUAUACCUUAUUGUAUCCCCUGACUCUUUCCUCGUUCUUCCUCGUUGAUGUCCAUUGAUUUAGAACCCCCCCCCCCCCCCCCCCCUUCUGUUUUUCAUCAACUUCGAAUCCAAAAUUUUGUAGACAAAAAUUCUUUAAGAUAUUCCUCAAUUUCACUUUCCAAAAUUUCAAUUCCUUUAAAUUCUAAAUUUCUUAUCCACAUCAAUUUUGUGUUUCAAAUAAUGGAAUAGAAGAAAAAAAAUAUAGAACUUCAUCAGAUUCCUAUCUCUUUAAUCCUGCACCCACCAUCUCAACAUUGCUCGAAAAAAAGGUUUCACGCGUUAUAAACUAAAAACUAGUGCAAAAGUGAAUUACACAAGGAGAGAGGGAGGGGGUGGGAGGAUUCAAGACUCAAAAGAAUUAGUGAAAGUUAAUAUCAUUUUGCAUAUGAUGGCCAGAAGGAAAGAAAUGACAGAUGUUUUGAAGAUAGAGAUCUAGAAUUCACAAAGUAAAAUGGUUAGAUCAAAUUAUAAAAGUUAUAGGGAGCUUGCAAUUAUGGUUAGAGUUGUAAAUUUUUGAAGGUGACCAACAUGUCCUUAAUGCUAAAACAUACAACUUUUACCAAUGUUUCAGCAUUAAGAACAUGCUAAUGGCCACCUUCAAAAAUUUCGACCCUAAUUGAAAUUGCAAGCUCUCUAACUUCUAUAAUUUGAUCUACAUGUUCCAUUCAAAGCUGUUUACACCAAAAGAGUAAGAAUACUAAACUAUUUCAUAUUACUUUGUGAAUAAAAUUAGAUCUAUCUUCAAAACAUCUCCCAUUUCUUUCCUUCCACACUGACCACCAUAUACAUGAUGGUAUUAGCUUCCACCACUUCUUUUGAGUCUUGGAUCCCCCCCCCCCCUCUCUCUUCUAUGUAAUUAACUUUCAGUUUAUAACGCGUGAUAUCUUUUGUGUUGAGCAAUGGUGGUUGUUGUAUUAAGGAGAUAGGAACAACUAUUGACUGAUUAGUGAUUAUGCACUCGAAAGGGGGAGGGUAGGAGGGAGAUAGAGAAAAAAUGGCUGUUAUAUAUCAACUUAUAAUCUAAGCUUUAUUUUACUUGUAUUUGUUGCUCAAGCCACUUGAACUGAUUGAACAAAACCAAUUGCUGCACAAGAUUGAUUUAUGUUGUUAUAUAUAUUGCUUUCUAACACCCUUCGGGGUGGCCCAGUGGUUUGGGCUUGGGACUUCCAUGUUGGAGGUCUCAAGUUCGAAACCCCUUGCCAGCAAAAGCAAGGGGUUUGCCUUCUGGGUCGAGCUAGUCGCACCAGGCUUGCCUAGUGCGGGUUACCUCUCCUAUGUGGUUUGCGAGCUAUUGCAUAGGAGCGGGUAUAUUGCUCUCUAACAUUUACAUUACUUCUUAUUUGGGAGCUUUGGAGCAUCAUACACUUGAAGUGAAAAUUGGAAGCAAUUGGGAAGAUGUUAGCAAAUUAUAUAUAUGAAACCUCUUUUCAAGAGUUCUCUUUUACUUUGGUACUUUCGAUCAAACCUCCUAUCUAGGAACGGAGCUACAAUGUUAUGUGUGGGCGGGUCGAACGAAUCCAAUAAUUGUAGUGUAAAUUCUAUAUUUAUAUUAGAAAACAUUGUAACUAUACAAAUGCGAGC